Molecule: non-coding RNA, 423 nt
Organism: Cyanistes caeruleus (blue tit)
Lineage: Eukaryota; Metazoa; Chordata; Aves; Passeriformes; Paridae
Source: RefSeq, a predicted model, not a curated record
UUGCAAUGGAGCUUUUUGGAGGUGCUUCCUGAAACAGAAAGGAAUUAAUUCAAGUGUUUUUCUCCUGUGUAAGCAGCAUCUGCUGAUACUUCUACCUGGUAAAACAAAUAUGUUUGUAGAAAGAGGCAAGAGUGUCUAGAAGUACAUUAUUUGAAGUAAGAAACAGUGCCAAUGUCUUCAGUGGGGAAAAAACCCACAUAAGGAAAUUGAAGCUGAUCCAAAUGAAGCUUCUAGGGUCUGGUGUGUUUCUCCUGUGAGAAUUCAUGACAAGACAUACCUUAGAGAUAAGGUUUUAAAUAGGCCUGAUAGGGCCAUUGGUUUCAGGAAGGGUGUUGCUGUUUUGCCUCAAUGUUGUGCAAAGUGUAUCAGUGUAUCAAGGACUGAGAGAUGACUGCAUGCAGUCUGGAAGGACAUGACGGAGUU